Molecule: transfer RNA, 61 nt
Filed under: Whitmania laevis
Lineage: Eukaryota; Metazoa; Annelida; Clitellata; Hirudinida; Haemopidae
Description: tRNA-Tyr
Source: RNAcentral
GAUAUGCUAGUUUAAAAAAAAACAUUAAACUGUAAAUUUAAAAUUAUUAUUUUGCAUGUUU